CGUAACAAGGUCUCCGUUGGUGAACCAGCGGAGGGAUCAUUACAGAGUUGCAAAACUCCCUAAACCAUUGUGAACGUUACCUAAACCGUUGCUUCGGCGGGCGGCCCCGGGGUUUACCCCCCGGGCGCCCCUGGGCCCCACCGCGGGCGCCCGCCGGAGGUCACCAAACUCUUGAUAAUUUAUGGCCUCUCUGAGUCUUCUGUACUGAAUAAGUCAAAACUUUCAACAACGGAUCUCUUGGUUCUGGCAUCGAUGAAGAACGCAGCGAAAUGCGAUAAGUAAUGUGAAUUGCAGAAUUCAGUGAAUCAUCGAAUCUUUGAACGCACAUUGCGCCCGCCAGUAUUCUGGCGGGCAUGCCUGUUCGAGCGUCAUUUCAACCAUCAAGCCCCCGGGCUUGUGUUGGGGACCUGCGGCUGCCGCAGGCCCUGAAAAGCAGUGGCGGGCUCGCUGUCACACCGAGCGUAGUAGCAUACAUCUCGCUCUGGGCGUGCUGCGGGUUCCGGCCGUUAAACCACCUUUUAACCCAAGGUUGACCUCGGAUCAGGUAGGAAGACCCGCUGAACUUAAGCAUAUCAAUA
RNAcentral lists this ribosomal RNA (578 nucleotides) under Chaetomium sp. MAB-2010c. RNAcentral's name for it is "eukaryotic LSU rRNA". The stretch from base 218 to 371 matches the Rfam family "5.8S ribosomal RNA". The record is from RNAcentral. Lineage: Eukaryota; Fungi; Ascomycota; Sordariomycetes; Sordariales; Chaetomiaceae.